This 4535-nucleotide long non-coding RNA is filed under the name Homo sapiens (human). RNAcentral describes it as "HSALNT0322973". Lineage: Eukaryota; Metazoa; Chordata; Mammalia; Primates; Hominidae. The record is from RNAcentral.
UAAAGGAAGAGAUGGAAAUUAGUAGAAAAAAUAUUAAAAACUUAGAGGAUCAGUCUGGGACAUCUGACAUUCAAAUAACAGGGUGUCCAAAACAGAAAAUAGAAAACAAAGAAUAGAAUGUUUUUAACUGCAAGAAAAAUGAACAGAAUUGGAUGACAGAAAACCCCUAGAUGACAAGGACCCACUGGGUGCCCUUUGAAUAAAUGAAUGAAAAAAAACUGCCCAUCCAUGUUCAUCAUUAUGAAAUUUUGAAGCACCUAGGCUAAAAAGACCUUCCUAAAAACUUGUGGAGAGAAAAGUCGGGGUUAAAUAAAAUAAGAAUUGGAAUUUUGGACUUCUCAAUAGCAACAUUGGAUGCUAUAAUAGAAGACAAAGUCUUCGAAAUUGUACAGGCAAAGUAUUUUCAAUUUAGAAUUUACACCAGCCAAAUAAUCAAGUGGGAGGGAGAAUAAAGACAUUUUCAGCAUGGAAGGACACAAAGCACUCCCUCUCAGAAACCUUUUCUUUCUGAAAUGAAUAUGUGGUCCAACAAACCACAAUCAAGAAAAACGUGGCAGAAAAUAGGGAUUUUAACACAGGAGAUGGGUGAAGGGAGUUCUAGGAUGGUAGGUGGGCAUUUGAAUUCAAGAACUAGCAGUUGAGGUGUAAGCAGGGAAAGUAAUGGAAGAAACAUCCCAAGCGUACAAAAGGAAAUGAUAAUCAUCUUAUUAUCAUGCCAGAGCUUUUAGAGAAAAAAAGUCUCAGCGUUCCGAACAGCUGAUGGUACACUUAGAAAUUUUUUACGGUUCAACAUAUAAAAAGCUAUGCAACAGAUAAAAAUAAGGCAAUUAUUAAUUUUUAAAAGUAUGUUUAAAAACAUAGUAUACUAGUUAGCCCUAGAAACUAUACUAAACUAUAUUUAUGUAGCCAUAAAAAUGUAAAUACUAUGAUUAUGAUUGCUAAAACAUCAGUGGGGGGGAGAGGAUAGUAGAGGGAGAGUUAAAUCCUCAUCUACCAUAAUUAGAAGUUAUUAAUGUCUAAAAUGAAAAAAUAAGGUGCACAUAUUAUAUAAAGAUGGGACAUAUAUAUAUGUAUAUAUCAGAAGAGUUAGCUAAAAGUUAAAAAUAUUUGCCUCUAUGGUUGGGGGGAAAGUGGAGGGUUAUAGCAUUUUUAUAUACUUUGAGUAUUUGCAUUACUUUGCUAGAAAUAUAUUUUUUAAAGCAAGUUCCCCCAACACCCUCUGCAAAAAAAAGUCAGUAUGGCAGAUUUCAGAAAUAGUGACCUUUCUUUACCCAUGCCAGUAGAAUCCAUCAACAAGAAUGAUCUAUCUAGUCAGUCUCAUGUCACAAAGAGGGCCUUAGGGGUGCUCUUCCUGGAGGAGUUGUAUAGCUAGAUAGAGGCUAGGAUGGAAUCCAUGUGUGGGCAAAUUACCUCAGUUCUCUGGUCUCUUGUUUCAUCUGUAAAACAGGCACAAUAAUAGUCCUAACCUCAUCAGGCUGCUGAAGACUGAACAGAUGAUGUAGGUAAUGUGCUUAGCAUAGUCUCUGGCUCAUGAGUUCUUAAUAAAAAGUACUUGAUAAUAUCACUGUUAGCAGCAUUCAUCAGUCUCAAGGUGGAAACCAUCAUAUAUUAAGAUCUGGAACUAGCAGAAUCCAGAGCUUUUGACUUCAGGUUCUGAUUUGAGCAUGUGCAGAUGGAUAAACUGAGCUGUAACCCCAUGCAUCUUAUAUCAAGAGGACCAGCCACUUGGGGAUCCUCAAGGAUAUAAGUGCCCUCUCCCCUCUCCAACCUGUUUUCCCAUCACCUCCUCCUAACUUUCAUUGGGGUUUAUUUCCAGAUUCUCCCACCAGGUAUCUUAAGUGUUUUCUCCACAUGGAAAUGCUUUUCAGUAAAAUGAAAAUGACUGAACUUUUUAUAAAGUGAAGUUCAGAGUAUCCCUUCUGGGACUCUAUUUUUUCCCUUGAAAUUCUAGAUCAAAAUUUCAAAAAGGCCAGAGUGGGGUCCAUAGAAGAGCAGAAGCAAUGAGUUGGAAGGACUUCUGUGCACCUCUAUUAGUCCCACUGCAUGGAAUCCUUAGGGUGUCAUAAUGAGGGACUCCAAUGAAAGAAUGAAAGAAUCUCUGAAGUGUUGAUUGGCUGUUUCUGGAACUUGGCCCAAGUUCCUACUACAGAUGUACCAUGUCCACUUUUCUCAGAAUUCAAGUUUCCUGGUUGGUUUUUUUCUCAUCCAAGAAUCUAAGAAGAGUCCAUAAAGAAGGCUGACAACAAAUGAAUGGAGAAAACACAAGCCCCAAAGCCUGCAGCACAGCCAGGGACCCUCUGUGAGCUGAGUCUGUGAGUUAGGGACCAGCUCUCUUCUCCAUGAAGCCUGCCCUGAUUCUCCCCAGAGGGAAGGCUGGCCCCCUUUUCCAAACUCCCACUACAUUUUGUCCAAACGAUGUUGGAAGCCACUGGGACUCCCCAAGAACAAUAUCCAAGUUGAAGACACCUUUUGCCACCCCCGCCAGUGGACAUGGAAGGAGUGCCGCACACACCCGCCCUGAAUGCAGAAGCAGCAGAGUUCACCCCAAGGAUUUCACCAAGCACUAGUGUUCCUUGUUUUGCUUGUUUUUGAUGCCUAAAGAGCCAACAAGUGACUAACAGACUGUUGUUCAUGGAUUGUCUAAAGUCAGCCUUCUAAUAGCACCCGAAGGGCUCCUCAUGCUGGUGCAACCCCGCUGCCACUGCUCCUGAGCCUAUGUUCCCUUCUCUCCACCAUGCACCUUCUGACAUCAUGACUCACUGGAGAACCAGGCCAGGAUCCCAACCACCCCGUGUCUCAGUGGGCCUGGGCGGGAGCCCUGUGCUGCCAGGAGGAGCAGAGAUAACAUUGAUUGUCCAGAAGCUCUACGAUGGAGACAGGUUGUCAUUGGAAGUCCAACAAGAGACAGAGGCAAGUGAGCUUUAUGGAGCACCUACUGUGUGCCAGGCCCCAUGCAACGGGCUUCUGUGGAGGCCUGCCCCUGCCAUCUUCACAACCCUCAGGUGAGCCAGCUUUAGCUUUACAUUUUAUAGAUGAAAAAAGCUGAGAGUUGAUGAGACUAAGAUACUAUUUGUGAGACCAAAAGAAAGAGGAAAAUCUCAUUUAAUCUCCAGGAUUUGUUAAAUUAGGCAAAGACAAGAAGGAACUUUUAUGUGAGGACAGACUGAAGUCCUGGCAUUUUCCAGCUCAGAAAGUCUGAGAAAGGAUAUGCUCAAGAACUAUCACAUGAAGGAAGAGCUCCUGCUUGACCGUGAGCUGGGCCGUCAAAUCCCACAUCCUCAUGGGGACUCGAUGCAGCCUGGAUAGCAGGGUGGUAAGACUCUCUGCUUCCUGAGCACAGGGUCUACCCUCCUCUUGUGAACUCUGUGUCCUUCACCAAGUCAUUGAACCUCCAUCUGCUUCCUCACCUGUUUAAGAAAGGAUGAUCGUAAUAGGACCCACAUCAUAGGGUUUUGUUAAGGGCUAAAAGAAAAAUAUGUAAAGCGCCUUGCCGAGUGCCUGGUACUACAGUAAGGAUUUGAUAAAUAUUAGCUGUUACAGUAAUUAGGAGUCAUAUUUUAUACCCUACAAGAGGCAUUUGUAGAUCAAAAGAAAUCUCACAUUACAGGGUGGGAAGUAAACUCACUAAACAUAGCCCCAAGGGUGGCACAAACGGAAAAUAUAAAUAGAAUAAAAAAGGGUUAGAUCACGAAUGGGUAACCUUUUCUCUACCAUAAGCCAGUGACACACAGGGGCAAAAAGAAAAUCCAUUUCUGGCCCCAUGUAAGUCAAAGAAGCCAUUAUAGGCUGUGAAGGGAAUUCAAUUAGUCACUGGUUGCCAUGCCAAUGCAAACAUCACCCUUCCACCUACUCUACCAUCAACACAUUUGAAUAAGUAACAAUGAUAAUAGCAUGCACUAAAAAUGCUAUUUUUAAAAAAGUUACAUGUGCUUCUUUCAAAAGUCUGGUUUUCAGAAAUAAUUGCUAUAGUCCAGAUGAGAAUUCACAUGGAAUCCCUAAAAUGGGUUGAGUAUCAUCAGAGAAGAGACAUCUGUAGAUUAUUAAGGGACUCUUAGGGUUUGGAGUUGAUUUUCUUGUGGGGGAGGGGAAAUUUUUUCAACAUUCCAAGCUUGAUCAAGCAACCCUUCAUGGUGUCAGAAAUUGAGCUCAGACAGUCCCUUGCUCAGCACUGCUCUCCUCACACCCUGAAGCCUGACCUGGAUCCCUGGUUUCAUUAUGCCUUCUUCAAGCUUUGCUUGAGUAUCUACAAUUUGGCAAUGUGUACCUAAAACUUAAAAAAAUACUUUGAUCUAAGAAUUUACUUAAAAAAAUACUUUGACCUCAGAAUCAAUCCUAAGAAAACCAAUACUGAUAUACAGAAUUUAUAGGAGCAAAAAUAAAAGUAAAGAACAGAAAUAACCAAAAUGUCCAAAUUAAAUUGUUAUACAUCCAUAUGCUAGAAUAUGAUGAGCUAUUAAAAAUGAGGCUGUCAUAAAAAUGAAUGAGAUCAUGUCCUUUGCAGGCACAUGGAUGGACCUGGAAGCCAUUAUCUUCAG